CCUACGGGAGGCAGCAGUAGGGAAUUUUCGGCAAUGGGGGGAACCCUGAACGAGCAACGCCGCGUGAACGAAGAAGUUAUUCGUAAUGUAAAGUUCUUUUAACAGGGAAGAAAGAGAAAUUUGACGGUACCUGAAGAAUAAGCUCCGGCUAACUACGUGCCAGCAGCCGCGGUAAUACGUAGGGAGCGAGCGUUAUCCGGAAUUAUUGGGCGUAAAGGGUGCGUAGAUGGCAGAGUAAGUCUGUUGUAAAAAUGCUGGGCUCAACCCAGUAGGGCAAAAGAUACUGCAAAGCUAGAGUUGGACAGAGGCAAGUGGAACUACAGGUGUAGCGGUAAAAUGCGUAGAUAUAUGUCAGAACACCAGUGGCGAAGGCGGCUUGCUGGGUCGAUACUGACAUUGAGGCACGAAAGCGUGGGUAGCAAACAGGAUUAGAUACCCCUGUAGUC
RNAcentral lists this ribosomal RNA (446 nucleotides) under uncultured bacterium. RNAcentral's name for it is "partial 16S ribosomal RNA". It matches the Rfam family "Bacterial small subunit ribosomal RNA", at positions 338 to 795 of the family's 1533-position model. The record is from RNAcentral.